RNAcentral lists this ribosomal RNA (253 nucleotides) under uncultured bacterium. Its description in RNAcentral is "partial 16S ribosomal RNA". It matches the Rfam family "Bacterial small subunit ribosomal RNA", at positions 524 to 776 of the family's 1533-position model. The record is from RNAcentral.
UACAGAGGGUGCAAGCGUUAAUCGGAAUGACUGGGCGUAAAGGGCGCGUAGGCGGAUAGAUAAGUCAGAUGUGAAAGACCUGGGCUUAACCUGGGAUGUGCAUCUGAGACUGUAUAUCUAGAGUAGAGUAGAGGGAAGUGGAAUUUCCGGUGUAGCGGUGAAAUGCGUAGAUAUCGGAAAGAACAUUCGUGGCGAAGGCGACUUUCUGGGCUCAUACUGACGCUGAGGCGCGAAAGCGUGGGUAGCAAACAGG